This 431-nucleotide ribosomal RNA is filed under the name uncultured bacterium. RNAcentral describes it as "partial 16S ribosomal RNA". It matches the Rfam family "Bacterial small subunit ribosomal RNA", at positions 29 to 507 of the family's 1533-position model. The record is from RNAcentral.
AACGAACGCUGGCGGCAGGCUUAACACAUGCAAGUCGAGCGCCCCGCAAUGGUAGCGGCAGACGUGUGAGUAACGCGUGGGAACGUACCUUUUGGUUCGUAACAACUCCGGGAAACUGGAGCUAAUACCGGAUAAGCCCUAACGGGGAAAGAUUUAUCGCCGAAAGAUCGGCCCGCGUCUGAUUAGCUAGUUUGUGAGGUAACGGCUCACCAAGGCGACGAUCAGUAGCUCGUCUGAGAGGAUGAUCAGCCACACUGGGACUGAGACACGGCCCAGACUCCUACGGGAGGCAGCAGUGGGGAAUAAUGGAAAAUGGGCGCAAGCCUGAUCCAGCCACGCCGCGUGAGUGAUGAAGGCCUUAGGGUUGUAAAGCUCUUUUGUCCGGGAAGAUAAUGACUGUACCGGAAGAAUAAGCCCCGGCUAACUUCGUG